UUGAACGCUGGCGGCAUGCUUUACACAUGCAAGUCGAACGGUAACAGGGUGCUUGCACCGCUGACGAGUGGCGAACGGGUGAGUAAUGCAUCGGAAUGUACCGUGUAAUGGGGGAUAGCUCGGCGAAAGCCGGAUUAAUACCGCAUACGCCCUGAGGGGGAAAGUGGGGGACCGAAAGGCCUCACGUUAUACGAGCAGCCGAUGUCUGAUUAGCUAGUUGGUGAGGUAAAGGCUCACCAAGGCGUCGAUCAGUAGCGGGUCUGAGAGGAUGAUCCGCCACACUGGGACUGAGACACGGCCCAGACUCCUACGGGAGGCAGCAGUGGGGAAUUUUGGACAAUGGGCGCAAGCCUGAUCCAGCCAUGCCGCGUGUCUGAAGAAGGCCUUCGGGUUGUAAAGGACUUUUGUCCGGGAGCAAAUCCUAGUGGUUAAUACCUACUGGGGCUGAGAGUACCGGAAGAAUAAGCACCGGCUAACUACGUG
RNAcentral lists this ribosomal RNA (483 nucleotides) under uncultured bacterium. Its description in RNAcentral is "partial 16S ribosomal RNA". It matches the Rfam family "Bacterial small subunit ribosomal RNA", at positions 30 to 507 of the family's 1533-position model. The record is from RNAcentral.